Long non-coding RNA from Sinocyclocheilus anshuiensis, 209 nucleotides. RefSeq lists it as uncharacterized. The transcript is spliced from 3 exons. Lineage: Eukaryota; Metazoa; Chordata; Actinopteri; Cypriniformes; Cyprinidae. The record is from RefSeq and is a predicted model, not a curated record.
GCUUCUGCAACAGUGGCUAAUGAGGAUGGUGAGACCAACAGCAGGCCACUGGCGAGAUUUGCACGCUCAAAGUCUCAGAGUGCACUCUGGAACACGCUCACUGCUGGGACGGGCAAGAAGGAGAAGGUCAAAUUUCAGAGGGACAUUCCAGACGAUCCACGCAGAAUAGAAGAGAUCCUGGCGGAUGAGCUUCCCUCUACAGACGUACC